AUUCAAGAUGGAGACGCCCUGGUUCAGACGCCUCUGACAGAUGCUCCAAGAUGAUGUGAAGCAAAUUUCACGACUAACGAUGGCCCGAAGGCUCCUUCCCUCCACGGGAUUCUGCUCCAGCCACAGCAGAGACUAUUUUGCACACCUUCCAGACAUUGCUGCCCCAUUCCAGCAGAUACAAGUGCCCUUCUUGUCUCAUGGACUCAAUCAGGAGAUAUGAAGAUUGACAACUGAUUGGCAAAAGUGAAGUCACUGUGUGACCUGUCCUGAAAAGAUGGUGGCUGCAUCUAGAAACAGUGACGUGUUUGGGGAACAAUGGAGUAGAGUCAGAGACGCACCUACUAAGACAUUUUGGCUGCUGGGCACCUGAACAUGAGCAAUGUGAAGCUUCCGGUCAUAAAAGGCCCUGCAGCUUCCUCCAGGUUCUUUUGGAGCACUUGACUCUGCAGACACCCCCAGGCCCCAUGAUCAAGAGUCCUGGACAUGCCGAGGCUUUACUGCACCUCACCCAGCUCAGGAACCAGAUGUGAGCAAAAACGCUUCCAGGUAAUGUCAGCAGAAAUGAAAUGUCUCUACCGAAGGCCCAAAAGCCUUACAGUAAAGCAAGUACCGAAGACACUCACCUUAAACAGCUGCGCAGACUCAAAGGCAUGCGGUAUUCAGCAGUCAAGAAAAGCCUU
This is a long non-coding RNA of Homo sapiens (human), 680 nucleotides long. NCBI's taxonomy places the organism in Eukaryota, Metazoa, Chordata, Mammalia, Primates, Hominidae. The record is from Ensembl.